UCCCAAAGCUCAACAUUGUCAUCAUUAUUGAGCUAAGACCUCAUUGAUAAUUAUGUGUAAGUUUUUAAUCUAGAUUUUAUUUUAGUCAUGUUGAUGAUGGGUAUAAAGGAGAUAAGGGAGAAUGUAAGAAGGAGAAAGUGGUGGUAUAAAGGAGGCUAUAGUUCACCCUUGAGAGGCUGAGAAGUUGAAGAAUGAAAAGAGGGAUGAAGACUAACAUGUUAGGAUUUUUGAGAAGGAAGAAGAGGACCUCCUCUACGUUAGCAAGUGGCUUAAUGGAGGGUCCAACUAGGUGAUUAAGAAUGGAUGAUCCUUCCUGUAAGUGAUACAAAGUAUGCAAGUGGCUAGUCAUUGAAUAAUCAUCCGGGCAACAUAAGGCGGAGGACCUUUUGUGGGUGUCUCUUCGAUCACUUCUCAUAUUGUCACAUAUGCAAAUCGAGAUAGGAGUAUAACAAAUUAUACCGUAUGAAUUUUGUAAAAUAAUUUAUUGAAGUAUUAACUUUUUAAAUAAAAAAAAAGCUCAGGGGCCCCCAAUCUCGCAAUGGAAUGAAUGCAACACACAAAAAUUGCGGUAGCAUACGUGGGAAAAGGCACCUAAGAGCAUGAGUUCGGUGGGCAGACAAGAUCAUGCAAUUUGGAAGAAGAAAAAAGGAAGGGGUCCAAAAUAAAAAUUUAAUAAUGUUCCCGUGGUUGUAGCAUGCUUGCAAAAGGAAGGAGGUGUAGUAGUAGGUAACUGUUGUGUUAGACUACCUGUCCAAGUCUAUCCCUCUUACCUCCACAAUUAUUUUGAAAGACUUGGUGCUCCUUUUUGUUAUCUUUUGUAAUUAAUGUUAUCCAAAUUAUUAAAUUAUUUUCCUUUUUUUCCUUUAUGGUUUCGAGGCCCCCCCCUCUAAUUUUGAAUUGACUCUUUUGGACUUGUCCAACUACUCCAAGUUAGUGAGUAUCUGUUAAUGAGUCGGAUCAGAUAAGAUGUCAAAAUUUUUUAUUUUUCCUUUGUUCAAAAUCAUUUUUGACUUAACUUCCUCUGAUGUCUCCC
This 1033-nucleotide long non-coding RNA is filed under the name Gossypium barbadense (sea-island cotton). RNAcentral describes it as "long non-coding RNA (GBAR_LNC022526)". Lineage: Eukaryota; Viridiplantae; Streptophyta; Magnoliopsida; Malvales; Malvaceae. The record is from RNAcentral.